Molecule: long non-coding RNA, 1894 nt
Filed under: Populus trichocarpa (black cottonwood)
Lineage: Eukaryota; Viridiplantae; Streptophyta; Magnoliopsida; Malpighiales; Salicaceae
Description: long non-coding RNA (PTRI_LNC002066)
Source: RNAcentral
AGUAUUCAUAAUUAAAUAUUCCCUAACAUCAAAAACAAAAAUAUUAUAAGCCGACUAUUAUAUCAUAAAUCAAUAAUUUUUUAUUAAUUUAAAACAAAAACAAUAAUAUAACUCAUCUUAAUUAAAACAUUUAAAAAAUAAUAAUAUUUUUCUGAUUGUUGUUUCGAUUGUCAACUGGGAGGUGCUCGUCAAUUAAUUGUCCCAAAGCCUUGCCCUAGCUUCAAUUCAAGUGCUCAUCUUUUCUGAACUGCUUCCAAUACAUUUGAUUUUGUGAUUUCUUGUUCCAUCUUGAUUAUAGCUUUGAUUUCUGUUCGUUUCUCUCUUUUCCAGUUUGUUCUUUCAGAGCUUUGGCUUCCUGCUAUUGAGAGGGUGGUUGGCUGGGUUCCUUGUUGGUGACAUUAGCUUUCACCAGAAACCUCAUCUUCCCACAGGUCUGCACAUUCUUUUUUCCCUGCUUUCCCCCCUGGCUUCUUUGAUGUUUUCCUUUCGAUGGUGCUCAAUUUCUCUUGGUUGCUUCUUUAAAUCAUGUAUGUCUUGCAAGAACUUGGACUGCCUCUUUUGCUUUCCCGAUGAAGAUUUCUGGGACUGCUAUUCUGGUUGACUGUGUGUGGAGGUGCCCUUGGAUUUGUUUUCUUUGUUGUUUUCUAGAGUUGUGUCUGGGUUCAAUGAGAAUUGUUUUGGUUGAUUGUCUAGGUAGCUUUCACACUAGGUGUUUGAUCGAAUUUUUGAGAGAAAUGGGCCUUUGUGUUUUCAGGCGUGCACUGCUCACACGCUUUGCUAGCCUUUUUGACAUCCAUAGUUAAAAUGCUCACAUUGCUUUUUGAGGACUAGCACAUAAGGCGCAUCCAAUAACCUGAUAAUUUUGAUGAGUAUGUGCAGCAAAUUGAGGACAUGGAGGAACAAGUUACUGAAUUUGAAGCUGUUAUUUCAGUUCUUGACAGGUAUGUUUCUCAAUGAAUACAUGCCAAAGACUUGGUCUUGCCGUCUGGAAGUGAACGAAAAGAAAUACCCUUAGCACUUGGAGAUGGUCAAUGAAUAUAUUUGGCUCUUCGAAAUGAUUUUUUACUAUUAAAAUGCACAGAAGAAAAAAAAACCGUAUUCACACUACGGAAAAGCUAUUUUUAUCGAUUUGGCUCUUCAAAAUAGCAUCUUCCCUGGAGAUGUUCUAAUACUAUUUUUUUUUGUUGAGAUGCUAAAAUUUGAUGCAUGAAAAUUGAUUUAAAAAGUACAAUCGAACUGCAAAAUGAGAAAAAAAUUGCUUAUCAUCUCUGUUGCAGCCAUGAUGGUUGCCUUAAUUUUGCGCUGCUUUGAGAAUUGUGAUGGAUGGAAGAUUGGGAGCUGUCAUUCCUGUUUCCUUGCUUGCUGGAAUUCCUGCAACCCUUUUUAUAUUGCUGCAAUUUCCUCUCCUUGUUGAGAUUUUCAUAUCCACAUAUGGACCAGGUAUCUUCAACAGGAAAAUGAAGCUUUGGUACUGAACAUAUUUGUUUUUCAAUGCAGGGGACGUUCUCUCCGUUUCGUGUACUUGAGCCAAAAUUCUUGAACGAUCAGCUAGAAUUUAACUUUAUGGACCUCAUGUGAUCGCUCUUCAUAUGGUUUUGCUCACGAAAAGUAUUAUUACUUUGUGAUUCUUCCUUUUUAAUGCAUCUUAAACUCAAGGAAACGUAACUCAUAUGAGAAAUAUUCCUUGAUUGACAAUUUUAUUCUUCACAACAUAAAAGACUUGACAAUUUGAGAAAACAUAGAACAAGGCACUAUAAAAAGGACAAAAGUUUGAAUAAUUUAGCAUUCGAGUUUCACUUGCCAACACUGUAACACGUAAAUGAUGCGAAAAGGCAGAGCUUCUUCUUUCUUUCCACUAAUCUUCAAACACAUGAUUCACGAUUUAGCUUUUUAG